GAAAUUGAAAACAGAUUUGCUCUGAAAUGAUUCUUAUUCUAGUCUGUUUCUUAUAAAUAUUGCAGAACUCUCCUUGGUUGAAAUCUAACUUAUCUGCAAUGAAAUGUUGUUGGCAUCUUCAAUGUGAAUACUGGUGUCGCUCGUCCUUGAUUGUAGUAUGGGUGUUAUGUUGCAACUUGUUAAGGACAAGAUGAAAUUACAC
RNAcentral lists this unclassified non-coding RNA (202 nucleotides) under Hevea brasiliensis (rubber tree). Lineage: Eukaryota; Viridiplantae; Streptophyta; Magnoliopsida; Malpighiales; Euphorbiaceae. The record is from RNAcentral.